AUCAUACCAUUUUGGUUGAGUCAAGUGAUAGAAUAAUAUUUGAAUGGCGAACCUUCUGAAGUCGGUUUUGUUGGUCAUUUUUCUCAUAGCUCUCACAUCAGAUGAUUUGGUUUACAGUGCAGAAAGGAAUAAUUAUUGCAACUUACUAGUGAACCACGAAUGUGUGGUGGCUGCAAGAGACAAUUUAUGCUAUGAAGUAUGCGUAGCUGCUCUCCCAGGUAAAGAUGUUCACGAUGGUGAAUGUGUUGAGACCUACUUGUGUAAUUGUCUCUAUGUUUGUUAAUUAUUUCUCAUCAAAGGAAUUCAAUAAUCUUUCUCA
Sesamum indicum (sesame) is the source of this 319-nucleotide long non-coding RNA. RefSeq lists it as uncharacterized. NCBI's taxonomy places the organism in Eukaryota, Viridiplantae, Streptophyta, Magnoliopsida, Lamiales, Pedaliaceae. The record is from RefSeq and is a predicted model, not a curated record.